Molecule: transfer RNA, 86 nt
Filed under: Candidatus Dormiibacterota bacterium
Lineage: Bacteria; Bacillati; Candidatus Dormiibacterota
Description: tRNA-Leu
Rfam family: tRNA
About the family: Transfer RNA (tRNA) molecules are approximately 80 nucleotides in length. Their secondary structure includes four short double-helical elements and three loops (D, anti-codon, and T loops).
Source: RNAcentral
GCGGCGGUGGCGGAACGGCAGACGCGCUAGCCUCAGGAGCUAGUGAGCUUCGGCUCGUGGAGGUUCAAAUCCUCUCCGCCGCACCA